AAAGGCUGCGGUAUUUUGACCGUACAAAGGUAGCAUAAUCAUUAGUUUUUUAAUUGAAAACUCGUAUGAAAGGUUUAACGAAAUAUUGACUGUUUCAUAAAAAUUUAAGUAGAAAUUAAUUUUUUAGUCAAAAAGCUAAAAUAUAAUUAAAAGACGAGAAGACCCUAUAGAGUUUUAUAUUAAAAAUUUUAUAAUUAAUUUAUAAUAUUUAAAGUUUUAUUGUUAUUUAUAUUUUGUUGGGGUGACAGUAAAAUUUUUAUAUCUUUUAUUUUUUAUAAAACAAUGAUUUUUGAAUAAUUGAUCCACUUUUAGUGAUUAUAAGAUUAAAUUACCUUAGGGAUAACAGCG
RNAcentral lists this ribosomal RNA (348 nucleotides) under Exechiopsis subulata. RNAcentral's name for it is "partial 16S ribosomal RNA". The record is from RNAcentral. Lineage: Eukaryota; Metazoa; Arthropoda; Insecta; Diptera; Mycetophilidae.